Anguilla anguilla (European eel) is the source of this 1779-nucleotide long non-coding RNA. RefSeq lists it as uncharacterized. NCBI's taxonomy places the organism in Eukaryota, Metazoa, Chordata, Actinopteri, Anguilliformes, Anguillidae. The record is from RefSeq and is a predicted model, not a curated record. The transcript is spliced from 3 exons.
CCCCCCAAAUGAUUCACAAUUAAAAGUUUAUUCAUUACUGAACAGUUGAAUUAUAGAGAAGUUCUGCCAAAAUUAUAUAAGGGUGUUGAUGUCAUGUCUAGACAAUUAUGAGCCUUACUUGUGAAGAUGUGUCCUACGUUUAGAUGGAUGAGGGAAAUGAACAGAGUUAUUCAUGAAGAAAGAGAAUUGAAAACAUGGUUUCGGGCAAAUAAAGGUUUGAAUCCAAAUAGCUGGUACCUUAAAUUAUGAAAAAGUUUGUCUAGACAACGGCGUAGAUCAAUUGAGUCGUCCUUAAUGUCCUUGUAAACAAACGCAAGUGCCUUCUUUUUUUCUUCUGAAACGUUCUGGCGAGUUGAGCGAUGUGCAAAGACGUGAGAUUAAAAACGCAAGGUGACUUGCGCAGCGCUCGAGGCAGCCGAAGUUGGAACUGGCCGUAUGGUGUUUGUGAAGAGGGAGUUUGCAUGCGGAAAUUUAAGGAUAAAAUGUUGAUCGGAUCACGUCCAGUGAAUGCAAAAUGUGGUAAAUACUAUGUAAAUGAGUGCAAAAAAAAUGUAGAAAACACGUUGAAACACUUUAUAGAGAUGACAGUGGCUGUCACAUUGAGUGAGGUCGGAUGUAGAACAUGAUUUUUGAAUUAGUUCUACUUCUCACAUUACUCAGUUCCACACUUACUGGUCGUCAUAGUUCAUAGAUGUGUGAAAAAAAAGCAUUUUCAUAGCUGACUCUGAGGCUGCAUCAAAUGUCACCAAACGCAUUGUCACCAAAUUUUGCGAGUCACUUCCAUCCCACAGACCAUGUUUGAUGAAUUUCUGCUGUAAUUUUUUUUUACUGAUUUAUAAAAUAAGACUGUAAUCAAACAAUGUUUGAAAAUGUUGUAUAAAAAGUACCUCCAAACAUCCAUUCAUAUAAACUAGGCUUACUGAAUGGCAAGAGGCAUAUGACUAUUUGGUAACUAGGCCAACACAAUGGUUAGAGCUGUAUUUUUAAGUUAAGAUAGGUGCAGGUGAAACCAAUAGGCUAGGCCUACUUUAGAAUGCAUAAUUCAUCUGACACGUGUUUGACGAUACGCCGUUGGAGGUGACACUGUUAUGAACGAAAUCUUUCUGUUGGAACAGCUGUGAAUGGAGUCACAGUACAUGUCCUAAAAGAGAUAAGCCUACAGGUUAUGGUGGCAAUGCAAAUCGGUGGCAAAAAUCUAUCAUGCGGGAAAGAGAAGCAAACCGAUAGCAGCUUCAAUGCUCAUUGUGUCCAAAAAUAGCACCGGUGUCGGUCUUAUCACCAGAACCGAGCACCUGCAUACACUACAUGGUUUAAUUUGCGUCGGAUACGUGCUGGCUGCGUGACAUUUCAUUUUUUUUCAAGGAAGAAGUGGAAUUCUCAGUCGACCGGAACUGCUCGCGUUUUAAUCACUCAAUACCAGGACGCUGCGCUUCAGGGCCCAUGCAGGCUGCCACGCGAAGGAUUCCUCAGUUUCGUGCGCUGCCUCCUUUCAAUGAAAGCUGCUGCCAGGAUAAUGGCUUCAAAUGGGGCUGACAUCGAUUCAAUGGAGAAGCAGUCUUGACGGUUAGCAGGAUUUGGCUACAGUGUAGGGUUUUUUUGGCUUUUCUGCGGCAGCACGAGACGGGCAAAUUGCAGCGGAGUAAUUACCCUUCUGAUUACGCCGCUCCGUGUUCCUGACGACCCCCCCCCCGAACCCGCAGCCGCUGGCCCUCCCGAUCCGUCGCGGACCUCACCCAACCUUCCGCUUUUUCUCUUUCGCCCCUAGACCGGGGCAUCAAU